UGGGGAAUAUUGCACAAUGGGGGAAACCCUGAUGCAGCGACGCCGCGUGAACGAAGAAGGUAUUCGUAUCGGAAAGUUCUGUCCUAUGGGAAGAUAAUGACAGUACCAUAGAAGAAAGCUCCGGCUAAAUACGUGCCAGCAGCCGCGGUAAUACGUAUGGAGCGAGCGUUGACCGGAAUUAUUGGGCGUAAAGGGUACGCAGGCGGUUUAAUAAGUCGAAUGUUAAAGAUCGGGGCUCAACCCCGCAAAGCAUUGGAAACUGAUAAACUUGAGUAGUGGAGAGGAAAGUGGAAUUCCUAGUGUAGUGGUGAAAUACGUAGAUAUUAGGAGGAGUACCAGUAGCGAAGGCGACUUUCUGGACACAAACUGACGCUGAGGUACGAAAGCGUGGGGAGCAAACAGG
Molecule: ribosomal RNA, 403 nt
Filed under: bacterium
Lineage: Bacteria
Description: partial 16S ribosomal RNA
Rfam family: Bacterial small subunit ribosomal RNA
Source: RNAcentral